CGUCUCCCUCUCCAGUGAUAGCGUCAGCGGAAAUGCAGACGGGGACGGGGCUGCUGGGUUUCCUCCCUGGAAUGAAGCACAGCCGGAGGUUUUGCUGAUUCACCAGCAGGCCCUGACCGCUGAGUUCAGGUUGUCACAUCAUUUAUUGAAAAAGGAAUCUUUUCUCCACCGACUGACAUGAAAUGCUACCAUCAUCGUAAAUAAAAUUCCCGUAAAUACUUGCUGUCUCUGCUGUCUCAGUCCUGACUCACGGGCUGAGUUCUCUUUCUGCACAGUAGCACUGGCAUUAACUGUGACAGCUUUACAGCAGGCUCCCUCCCCGAGGCCGUUCAGAAGCAUUCCUCAGCGGGUCCUACACGUUUCCUCUCCCAUGUCAAGUUUAGAAGCAGUGUCAAGACCCACAGCAGUCCUGCGGGAGUUUUAAGGGAUGCACGGAGUUUAUGGGGACAGUUUGGAAAAUUGACAUUCAUGUGACUUAGAGUCCUACUACUUGAAAAUGGAUUCCAGCUCUCAACGAAUUUAGAGCUUUGGCAAAAUUUUUAAGAUUUCUUUGAUGUCCGAUGUGCUCAUUUCUUGGUUUGUUCUUGAGUAUUUUGUGGAUUUUUAUGAAAUCCACAAAGUUUUUGUUAUAAUGAAUGGGACACUUUCCCAUAAAAUGUUGUAAUUCUGUAUUGCUGUUUUAGUAAACACUGUUGAUUGAUGUAUAUUGAUGUUACACUUGGUCACUUGUAAUAGUUUGUCCGUUCAUUAUUUUGAACUUUUUAGGUAAACAGUCAUAUAAUUAUGCAAAUAAUUAUAGUUGUGUCUCUGCCUUUCUAAUAUUUAUACUUUGUGUAUAUUAUCAUGUUGGCCAGGACUCAAGCGUCUUUCUCUUGUUUCUGACUAAUGCGAAUGAUUCUAAUGCAGGGGUUUCCAAACUGGUGGCCGGGGGGCCAAAUCCAGCCAAUGGUCUCUUCUUGUAAAUAAAGUUUUAUUGGAACACAGUUACACACAUUUUUCUACAUAUUGUCUGAUGGCUACUGUCACGCCACAGCAAUGCUGUUAAAUAGUCCAGACAGAGGCGGUAUUGCCCGAAAAACCUAGAAUAUUCACCAUCUGAGCUUUUACGGGAAAAUUUGCUAAUAUCUGUUCUCAUGCAUUAAAUACAAUGUUUGUUACAGGUUAAGGAAGUUUCUGACUAUUUUUAGCUUUCUGAAUAUCUUGUGGUUGUGUGUGCUUUAAAAUUAGGACUAAAUAUUAAAUUUACCAGUUGCUUGUUAGGGGCCUAUCUUUUGAGAUGCCCAAAGUUUCCCUUUUUUAGUCUCUUCAUGUAGUGAGUUGUACUAACAGAUUCUCUAAUGUUGAACCGUCUUUGCUUUCCGGAGAUAGACUUUACUUGCUCCUGGUGGAUUGGAUUCUGUUUGUUAAUACUUUUAUUUUUGGGUAAUUACAUCCCUAUUAUAAAUAAUAUGUCAGCA
Long non-coding RNA from Homo sapiens (human), 1457 nucleotides. Ensembl annotates it as long intergenic non-protein coding RNA 205. The record is from Ensembl. Lineage: Eukaryota; Metazoa; Chordata; Mammalia; Primates; Hominidae.